This 977-nucleotide long non-coding RNA is filed under the name Ananas comosus (pineapple). RNAcentral's name for it is "long non-coding RNA (ACOM_LNC030094)". Lineage: Eukaryota; Viridiplantae; Streptophyta; Magnoliopsida; Poales; Bromeliaceae. The record is from RNAcentral.
AUAUAUAUAUAUAUAUAUAAAAUUGAGCUCCUAUACUUUUAAAAGUACCAAGUUAUUGGUGCUUGUAGAUUUUUAGCAAUUUGAUUAAGAGAUAUACGGUUAGGAUGAUGUGGGCCCUCUAAGAUUGAGUGGAUGGCUGGUUGAAUAGUAUAAUCUAAUGGUUGAAAAUGAUUCGAGGAGUAGAUCUAACGGUAAAAAACUUACAAGCACCAAGUGCAUGGUGCUUUUACAAGCACCAUAGCUGGACUAUAUCUAUAUAGUCCGGCUGCUAUACUAUCGGUAACACGGAGGCUUCCGUACUACCAAGUUGUUUUCGAUGAUGCGGCUUCCAAAUCGACGAUCGGCUCCGUUAGACUUGAUCUACACUAUUGAAAGUAUUUGGAAACUAAAUUUUAGAAUUUUUCGACAUAAUUUGGCUAGUGAUAAAAAGGUCUCAAAAUUGAUAAUUUUAAUGAUAGAUGUGAUGCAUUUGAAAAUUUAACAGUGUAAAACAAUUCAAAUCAGAUAAAAUUUUUAUAGAAAUUUUUUUUUUACUAUUUAGAGUAAGAUCAAUAUCUCUGAUCUUAAAUUCAAGUCUUCUAUCAUCAUUUUUAUGAGAUUUUUAUUUUCAGCCGUUUAUUUUUAGACUGCUCGUUUGAUAGGUAAAUGAUACCAAAAAAUUAUAAAAUUUAGUUUCCAAAUACUUUCAAUAGUAUAGAUCAAGUCUAACGGAGCCGAUCGUCAAUUUGAAAGCGGCAUCAUUGAAAACAACUUGGUAGCACGGAGGCGUCCGUGCUACCGAUAGUAUAGCAGCCUAGCUCUCUCUCUCUCUCUCUCUCUCUCUCUCUCUCUCUAUAUAUAUAUAUACACACGUGGAUACGUGUUGAUCACCUAAAUUAUUUCUAAUAUAUAUGACGCAUACCCAUCUAUUUUAUCUGUAAUUUUUUGGAUAAAAAAAUAGUGCCCAUUUCCGUAAAUCUACAGAUUAUUUAUCAGAU